This is a non-coding RNA of Pelobates cultripes (western spadefoot toad), 209 nucleotides long. The record is from the annotation of a GenBank genome assembly. NCBI's taxonomy places the organism in Eukaryota, Metazoa, Chordata, Amphibia, Anura, Pelobatidae.
UGACUAAUAGUCUCAAGUGUUUCUAAUGGGUACACAAUUUAUUCUUGCCCAACUUGUUCACAUUAUGUUGGUCCACAAUGGCCCAUGUUUCCUAUCCUCUGCUCCAGGUUAAGAGUAUGAUCUGGGUGGUUCACUAUGGGCUACAUUCUAUUAGAUGUGAUAAGCUUAUAUGUUAUAAUUGAUUAAUCUUUUCAUAUAGAAAAUUGACU